UCCCUAUUCUUAGCGGGAACCAGCGCUUUCUUCAUCUGGUUUUUGGACUCGAAGAGCGCAGUGGUCUCCUUCCAAGCUGUCUUCAAUUUCAUAUCCAUAUCGGGGUGGAAUGCGGUCGACGUCAUCACCACGGAAGUAUACCCGGCCACUUUGAGGAGUACAGGAUACGGUUUCUUGAGUGCCAUCAGUCGCUUGGCCGCCGUUUUGGGAAAUUUGACCUUUGGCAGCUUCAUCGGAACGAGUAAAGCAGUACCCAUCCUUACUUCCGCUGCAGUUAUAUUGCUAGGCAGCAUUUGUUCCGUUAAGUUGCCGGAAACUAAAGAUGCACUCAUGUAAUCUCCGCUGGACCAAGUCCCUAACAUAUCAAUGGAAACUUCUAUCACUUCGCUCUAUAACUUCUCGAGUCGUACUUAAAAAAAAUAAUAGUAAUAAAAUAUAUCAAUAUUUUCGAGCAUCGAAUAACCAAAAGAAUAAACCGGGUACCAAACUUGUCGUGUACUGAAAAUAAUGGAGGAUUUCUAAAGAGAAAUUAACAAUAGUUUUAAGGAAGUUCCUGGCAAAAAUUCCUUAUAAAAUGUAUUUGUUAUAUAGCCUGUGACAUUUUCUAACCCCCGCAAGAUCGAGAGAUAAUAUUUAGUAUACAAACCGAGCAGCAAUUAAUGUUACAGAACACUUUAAAGAAAAAAAUCCGCUACGUUGCAAGAAACUACAGAUUUUUUCAUGAAAUUUUUUGUAAAAAUUAAAAAAAAUAUACAGUUACAAAAAAAAUUAGAUAUUUGUUUCGUAUCGAGGUGCUAGUUUAUAAACAUAGCAAUACAAAAUAUCCGUGAGAGAUUGUGAUUUUUAUGAAAGAAUUUGUAGAGGGGAAAGAGAAAAAGAGAAAUCGAAUUCGUGAUUGCCUUAAUUACUCGAUUAUUACGUUAAAAAUUAAAUAAAUAAAUAAGUAAAAACACAAAAAAAUUCAAAGUAAAUAUCUCGAAAUAUUGAUGCUUAGCUACGCUUGUUGUUAAUGACGAUGAUGAAGCUUUUGUUUGUGAUUAUCACGCAUCAUGUUAUCGAUAUUUUGGGAAAAAAGUGUUUUAGUUACUAGUCAAUAGAAGAUAUUCGUGUUUCGAAUGCUCAUUUAUAUAUUUUAUUAUCCAAUUAUAUCGUUCGUAUCAUAUUUAUUUGUGCGAUAAUCCACGUAUACGUCGAGUUGUCCCUUUAUGAUUUUUGGAAGAUCUGCAUCAUCACUCCACGGAAAAAAGGUAAAUUAUCUCGUUGCAAAUAUCUUCGCUAUCUUAACUUAAAAAUUCGCUAAUAUUUAUCAAAACAAACGGAAUUGCAUACUAGAAAUUCUGAAAAAAAGACAAUUUCGUUGGGUCAACAUGCGAAUUUCCUAGUUUCUGUUGGAAAUUACUCUGUAAAUUAGGAAAAAUAAAUUCGAAAAUCGAAAGUAUCGAUUUCUUUACAAAUAUAUAAAUAGCAGAGGUAAAUCCUCCUUAAAAAUUGAUUUAAAAUAUUGUUGUACAUAGAUAAAAAAAACAAACAGAUCUUCCAUAUUUUUGUUUUAUCCGUCGUAACCGUAUGAAAAUUAUAUUUUGUUUAAUUUCGUUUGAUAAACGUGAAGCACUUGGACAUGCGAUAUUGCUUUAAUAUAAAUUCCCUUAUCGGUCCAUCUAUAAAAGAAGAAAAAAAUUCUUGUAUAGAAAAUAUUUUGUGAUUAACAUUAUUGUAUAAUGUAGAAUGUGCCUUUUGAUAUGUCGAGUGUAUCGAGUUCUGUGUAUAUGUGUACAUUCAAUUAUCAGCAAAAAAAGAGAAAUUUUAUGCGAAAGACAGCACUAAUUAACGUGAGACAAGUCUCAAAUGUAUAGCGUUAAAAGCACAAUAAAUAAUUUAAAUUAAU
Molecule: long non-coding RNA, 1885 nt
Organism: Centruroides sculpturatus (bark scorpion)
Lineage: Eukaryota; Metazoa; Arthropoda; Arachnida; Scorpiones; Buthidae
Exons: 2
Source: RefSeq, a predicted model, not a curated record